This 740-nucleotide ribosomal RNA is filed under the name uncultured bacterium. RNAcentral's name for it is "bacterial SSU rRNA". It matches the Rfam family "Bacterial small subunit ribosomal RNA", at positions 790 to 1530 of the family's 1533-position model. The record is from RNAcentral.
GUAGUCCUGGCUGUAAACGAUGUCGACUUGGAGGUUGUGCCCUUGAGGCGUGGCUUCCGGAGCUAACGCGUUAAGUCGACCGCCCGGGGAGUACGGCCGCAAGGUUAAAACUCAAAUGAAUUGACGGGGGCCCGCACAAGCGGUGGAGCAUGUGGUUUAAUUCGAUGCAACGCGAAGAACCUUACCUGGUCUUGACAUCCACAGAACUUUCCAGAGAUGGAUUGGUGCCUUCGGGAACUGUGAGACAGGUGCUGCAUGGCUGUCGUCAGCUCGUGUUGUGAAAUGUUGGGUUAAGUCCCGCAACGAGCGCAACCCUUAUCUUUUGUUGCCAGCGGUCCGGCCGGGAACUCAAAGGAGACUGCCAGUGAUAAACUGGAGGAAGGUGGGGAUGACGUCAAGUCAUCAUGGCCCUUACGACCAGGGCUACACACGUGCUACAAUGGCGCAUACAAAGAGAAGCGACCUCGCGAGAGCAAGCGGACCUCAUAAAGUGCGUCGUAGUCCGGAUUGGAGUCUGCAACUCGACUCCAUGAAGUCGGAAUCGCUAGUAAUCGUGGAUCAGAAUGCCACGGUGAAUACGUUCCCGGGCCUUGUACACACCGCCCGUCACACCAUGGGAGUGGGUUGCAAAAGAAGUAGGUAGCUUAACCUUCGGGAGGGCGCUUACCACUUUGUGAUUCAUGACUGGGGUGAAGUCGUAACAAGGUAACCGUAGGGGAACCUGCGGCUGGAUCACCUCC